ACGUUGCCCUGCGGUCACAUGACCACGUACGGACUGUGGCGGCAUAACGCCACAAACUCUACACACGUAGCAGACGAGGAAUGAAAAAAACGGGGGCAUUUUCGAGAAAUUUCAUCUUACUUCGGAGUCCGACAACAUUGACAUAGCAUUAGCAUGGAUAUCUCCGUCUUCUUACUUUUGUCUUUAGCAAAAGCCGAAGAUGGCCACUAAGAAGAUGGGCUAAGUGAAGUAUGACAUCAGGCUGGUAGGUCCGCGUGAUCAGCGGGGGGCCGGGGGGCGAGAGCGGGGACACAACCACCGAAUAUUCAGGUCCAGCCCUAUGCGACGGGAAGUUGUCUCCCUCCUGGCCGCUGUUGGGCGCCGUGCCAGCGGUGUGGGCACCGUAAUUGAUGGGCGGUACUAUGCGCCCUUUAUAUUCAGGUGUGCAGCGGUGGAACUUUCUGUCCUCCGCUCCCUGCUUGCUUCCGUGGUGGCUGUGGUUUGGCAUGACGGCGUUGGUGGACGCAGCCGUUCUCUGGUGUAUCCAGCUGUCAGACAGGCGCGCUGUCUGAAUAUACUUUUCUGUUCUUCCGCCUUCUUUUGUUUUUUGGCGUGUGAUUACAUCUGGUGAACACCGUAUCUCCACUCCUUCCAGCGUGGCUGAGUGCUGGGGUGAAUUCCCCGGGGCGAAACGGGGAUCUGCUGGACCCCUGCUGGGCAUAGGAUCACAGGCUCGCUGUAGUUGUGUGUACGUGUGUGUGAGGCGUAUUCUUGUGGCUCACACCCUCCAGUUGCCAGUUAACAUCCCGGCAUAAUCUGACUGCCACCAUCACUUCAAGCCGAGCUGCUGUUUUGGUUUUCUUUGAUAUUCGUCUGGUGAACUGUUUGUUUUUUUUUUUUUGGUUUUGUUUGUUUGCUGCGGCUUGUAGCGGACUUCUCAGCCCAGCACGGCCAAGUGCCGCCUGCGUCCGCUCCGUGCAGAGGCUGGUUGUGUCGCUGCUGUGCCAGAACCUGUACAGCUGCAAGGGCUAUUUCAGUUGAUGGCGUUUUGUUUUUCUUUGUUAUUUGGAAAUUCAUUUAGGUAUUUCCUUUUGGCAUUUUGGUUUGCUUUAUUGCAUUAGUUGGUUUAAUUGUCUUUUUUUGUUUUCUUUGUGAGUGAGGCGUCUCAUGUUUUGAUUUAAUUCAUCAUUUACUGUUCUUUGGUUUCGUUUUUUUUGUCCACACCGGUUAUGGUUAGUUUGGGCACGUUUUAUAAAUCUUUGUCUUCUAUUUACAGGUGCUGUGGCUUACUGCGGCAGUUAUUCCCUGGUGGCGGUGUCUCCUUUGGUCCCUCCUUUCCUUUGGUUUUUGUUUGUUUGUUUGUGUGUGUGUGUGUGUGUGUGUGUGUGUGUGUGUGUGUGUGUGUGUGUGUGUGUGUGUGUGUGUGUGUGUGUGUGUGUGUGUGUGUGUGUGUGUGUGUUUUAUUUGCAGUGUCACGGGUGAUUCAUUUGAGGAUUCCUCUCCCCUUUUGGUUAUCCUGCCGCAGGGUAAGCCCCAGCCCGGCUUUUUAUUCCUUGUUGCCCAUUCUUUCUUUUAGUUAGUAUAUGUUAACUGGUGUGUGACAUUAUUUCCUUACUUAUAAUUUGUUAAUAAAUAUUGUUAAAUUGGAACACGUCCCCCCCCCCCAGAAUACCUCAUUCUGUUGUUACAGUACCUCAUUCUACUGUUGUAGUGCCUCAUUCUACAGUUACAGUACCUCAUUCUACCGUUAAAGUACCUAAUUCUACUGUUAUAGUACCUCAUUCUUAAAUCCGAAAAAAACGCGGCAUUUUAUCCACAUUUGUUUUUCAUUCACACUGAAUCCUGAGAUUCUUGAGAUUCCUGAAAAGUGAAACCUGAAAGCAUUCUGUGGGGAAUGAAAAUUGUAUAAUACUAAUAAAAUUGCAGAAAAAAAAAUACAACUUAAAUGGAACAAAAACAGCCAUGGACACAGAUUUACUGACUCAGGAAGUACUUUCCUUUCUUGUUUAAGGUGGUAUAGCAAAGAAUUGACACACAAGUACAAUGAAGUAUGAAGAAAAGACAGAAAACAUUCUUAAACAGAAAUCAAACAAUGAACAAUAGCUUUAGGGUGAGCAGAGACAAACUGCAAGUUUAGAACCAGAGCCAAGAGCUGAUGUUCCACGGUAGACGGUCACAAGCUGACAGCAUGGUAGAGCUUCUGGAUGUUUAGCUAAAACCAAAAAAAGCAAGAGAUGUUAUUGAAGUGCACAUAUGUUAACUAACCAUGACUGACUAAUAUGUCAAAAGAAGUCUGUUCAGCAAUUUUCUGGUGAAUUAAUUCAAUUACUCAUAGUGGAGCUUAAAAUACCUCAUCUCUCAGUUGACCAGAGACCAAUGCCGUGAUUUCUGAGUAAUGCUAACACACUGAUGCAAAUAAUGACAGACAAUUAUUUAUGGCAAGUUGUCUUAGAUUAGAGUCCACUUCAUUCUGCUUGAACCUGCUGAUAGCUUUAACUUCCACUAGCAAGCUUCUCAGGGUCUAUGAGACCCGUAUGCCUUUACACCACAACAACAUAACUGUACAAGGAGAAUAUCUCCCUGAUCAAACACAACUUCAGCUUAAGCAGAGGUACUGUGUUGGCUGAAAAUGUCUUUGAAAGUGUAUUUCAUACACUUCAAUAAUUCAACUUUGGGAGAAAAAUUAUUCCUCUACGGCUCAGUCAAGCCACAAUUUGCCCACUGAAACGCUGCCUUUUACACUUCUCUGCUUAGCUGCUAUACCACUUCAGCUCCCCCUUUUCUACAGCAUUUAAGACAUUUCAGUGCAAUACAUACUUCAGUAAACUACCUUCAAAUUAUUAAUAUUCUAUAGAUUAUAAAUUAUUUGAUUCAACUAGAGUAACUUAACACAUUAAAAGUAUUUUUCAAAUGAUCAGGGCUUUAAUGCUGAUGCAGUAAUGUCUCAGUGCUAUCCUGGACACAUAAAGCUGUGAUAUCACUGGGUGAUAUCACUGGGUGUUUAACAGGUGUAACAGAGCAGAAUUUUGACCACACUGUUUUGCAGAGUGAAACUUUCAGCCACAGAAAGCAUAAGUAACCCAUGCAUAUCUCUUACAAAUUAUUCUUAUUAAAUUGACUUCGUUUGUUUUAACUAUAUCUUUCAUCCCUAAAAGAAAUAAUGGCUUGCUCUGCCUUAAGAUAUAGACAUUGAAUAUGUUACUUUUAUUAAAAAGAACAAGUAUAUACUGUUCUUACUCUGAAAUGCAAUAGUUGUUUUUAGGGACAUUAAAGGAAAUUUAGACUGCCAGGCUCAAUAAGCAUGCUUUCUUUCCACUCAGAAAUGACUUAUAUCAUUACUUACAUCGAUGUCAUGUCAUUGAGUGCGUGGUCAAGUUCCUCACUGAUGGCUUUGUACUUGAGCUUUUGUGCAUAAAGCUCAUCUGUAUGUACAAACAUGCACCAAGUGUUACAAAACAGACAAUUUUAACAGGGAGACGAUACGGUCAUGUAUUAAAAUAUAGAAUGAAAGUAACUAGAAAAAUAUAAACUUGUAUAGUGGAGACGUAUUAUCAGGCACUGUCAAUGUAAGGCAUCACCCUAGUUCCUCUUUUGGUAAAAACACAACCAGGAGCAAUUUUUCAAAGGUUGCAGUGUGAUGCACAGAAGAAGCUGCAUUAACUGAUACAAUCAAAUGUAGGUGUAGAAUUGCUGUGGUUCGUUUCUGUAGCAUCAAUUUUGAGUAGCCGAUGAGAAUUUUUAGAACUGUCACAGCCACAGCUUAAGCUGUGGGUUGUGGUAGUGCUCUCUCCUCCUCCGGCCCUACUCUCUCUCUCUCCUAGGUGUGUGUGGCGUUGAAGCUGGCAGCAGGUGUGGAUCAUCAUAAUCAGCAGAUCUGGUGCAGGUGGGAGCCGCUGAUUGUCACUCUGGCUUCUCCAUAAAAGCAGACCUCACCUGUCCAUCAAAGCUGGACGGUCGUCUAAUCUCCAAGGUUGACUCCUGCCUGCUGUCUGCUACCUGGAUUUCCUGGGUUUCCGUUGCCUGCUGCUUCUCCGUUCCUCUAAGGAUUCUGCUAACCACCUUCUGCCAGCUUGCCUUGGGAUGAAUUCCAUCAUUGAGGACGUCAGUUACUGCCUAUUCUACAGAUGCCAUUCUGCCAACUCUGCAUUAACAACUGGGAGCACAGAAGUUGGAGAGAGCCCUGUCCAAGUCUGACAUUUUCCCCCUCAUUAGAGUCAGCUAAGUUUUCAAACCCUAGUAACACCAGACUAUCAGUUUCUUCAGUAGUUUAUUUGUUGAAAUAAUUAGAUCACUUUUCUGUGUAGACUAUUAGUAGAAUUGUUAUGCGUUUCAUAGAAAAGUAUUUAGUCUUGGGGUUUUCAGGUUUCACGGUUACUGUAAUCUUAGUUUUUGUUUAGUCGUAUUUUGAUUUGUUUUCCUGCUUUGGUUAUUCCAAAUGUGGGUUAACCGUUUAUUCAGUUAUUCUGAUUGUAGUUAGUCUUCUGCACCACUAGAGGUUUCAUAGAUCAGUUCUGUCUUUAGAGGUUUUGUAGUUCUUCUGGUUCUAGGUUUACAGUUCUGGUUGUCAUUUGUAGUUCUAUAUGUGCUAUUGUAAAUAAAAGCAUUGUUAAAACUA
Amphiprion ocellaris (clown anemonefish) is the source of this 4594-nucleotide long non-coding RNA. RefSeq lists it as uncharacterized. NCBI's taxonomy places the organism in Eukaryota, Metazoa, Chordata, Actinopteri, Pomacentridae. The record is from RefSeq and is a predicted model, not a curated record. The transcript has 3 exons.